GCGAGUUUGCGGACACAAAAGAGUCGGCAGAGCGCGUCCUUGGUAAGGACGAGGUCAGCAGUUCGAAUCUGCUUAAACGCUCCA
Molecule: transfer RNA, 84 nt
Filed under: Oscillospiraceae bacterium
Lineage: Bacteria; Bacillati; Bacillota; Clostridia; Eubacteriales; Oscillospiraceae
Description: tRNA-Thr
Source: RNAcentral